This 497-nucleotide ribosomal RNA is filed under the name uncultured bacterium. RNAcentral's name for it is "partial 16S ribosomal RNA". It matches the Rfam family "Bacterial small subunit ribosomal RNA", at positions 28 to 507 of the family's 1533-position model. The record is from RNAcentral.
GAUGAACGCUGGCGGCGUGCCUAAUACAUGCCAGUCGAGCGAACGGACGAGAAGCUUGCUUCUCUGAUGUUAGCGGCGGACGGGUGAGUAACACGUGGAUAACCUACCUAUAAGACUGGGAUAACUUCGGGAAACCGGAGCUAAUACCGGAUGAUAUUUUGAACCGCAUGGUUCAAAAGUGAAAGACGGUCUUGCUGUCACUUAUAGAUGGAUCCGCGCUGCAUUAGCUAGUUGGUAAGGUAACGGCUUACCAAGGCAACGAUGCAUAGCCGACCUGAGAGGUGGAUCGCCCACACGGGAACGGAGACACGUUCCAGACUCCUCCGGGAGGCACAAUUGGGGAACUUUCGGCAAUGGGCGAAAGCCUGACGAAGCACGCCCGCGUGGGUGAGGAGGUCUUCCGGUUGUUAAACCCUGUUAAUUGGGGAGAACAUAUGUGUAAGUAACUGUGCCCAUCUUGGACGUUACUAAUCAAAAAAGCACCGCUAAAUUCCGGG